This 497-nucleotide ribosomal RNA is filed under the name uncultured bacterium. Its description in RNAcentral is "partial 16S ribosomal RNA". It matches the Rfam family "Bacterial small subunit ribosomal RNA", at positions 28 to 507 of the family's 1533-position model. The record is from RNAcentral.
GAUGAACGCUGGCGGCGUGCCUAAUACAUGCAAGUCGAGCGAACAGACGAGGAGCUUGCUCCUCUGACGUUAGCGGCGGACGUGUGAGUAACACGUGGAUAACCUACCUAUAAGACUGGGAUAACUUCGGGAAACCGGAGCUAAUACCGGAUAACAUGUUGAACCGCAUGGUUCAACAGUGAAAGACGGUUUUGCUGUCACUUAUAGAUGGAUCCGCGUCGCAUUAGCUAGUUGGUAAGGUAACGGCUUACCAAGGCAACGAUGCGUAGCCGACCUGAGAGGGUGAUCGGCCACACUGGAACUGAGACACGGUCCAGACUCCUACGGGAGGCAGCAGUAGGGAAUCUUCCGCAAUGGGCGAAAGCCUGACGGAGCAACGCCGCGUGAGUGAAGAAGGUCUUCGGAUCGUAAAACUCUGUUAUUAGGGAAGAACAAAUGUGUAAGUAACUAUGCACGUCUUGACGGUACCUAAUCAGAAAGCCACGGCUAACUACGUG